RNAcentral lists this ribosomal RNA (332 nucleotides) under Lachancea kluyveri. RNAcentral's name for it is "partial small subunit ribosomal RNA". The record is from RNAcentral. Lineage: Eukaryota; Fungi; Ascomycota; Saccharomycetes; Saccharomycetales; Saccharomycetaceae.
CUUAGAUUAAGUUCAUUAACGAACAUAACUCCAUAUAUAUAAUAAUUAAUUAUAUAUAAUAUUUCUAUCUUUUUGAUAAAAUGAAAGGAAUUAAGACAAAUCAUGAUGAUCCUUAUAAUAUGGGUAAUAGAGCGUGCUAUAAUAAAAUGAGAACAAAAUUAUAAAUAUAUAUAAAAAAAAUAUAGAAUUAAUAAUAUAAAACAUUUUAAUCUUUAAUAUAUUUAUAUAUUAUAUAUAGUAUGGAUUAUAAUCUGAAAUUCGAUUAUAUGAAAAAAGAAUUGCUAGUAAUAGCUAAAUUAGUAUGUUACGGUGAAUACUCUAACUGUUUGCAC